UUCCUCGCUAAUAAACCUAGCCUGAGGCUGAGACACGUUCGAGAAGAAGCAGAAAAUUACCUUUCAGGAAGCCAACGUGAGGUUUGCUCAUCUAUCGUCAGCUGGGACCCUGGACCUGCCUCUUCAUGCCUCUGACCUCAUGCUGCUCGCUCAGAACCCAAGGUCAAAGUCCCAGGAAUAGAGACCCAGUCCCCUCCCCAGGCUUUUUAGAAGCACUGCCUCUCCUUGCCUCCUGUUUCUAAAACUCAGCCACCAAACCCUGAGUCAUAGUUUCCCACCCUCAGGAAGGAGGGGAUGCCCACCCACAGGAAGGCUUCUGUGGCCCAGAGCCACCCAGGCAGGAAGCCAAGAUGGGAGGCUGCUGGGCACCUGCUGGUUAGAAAAGGGACCAGAGCAUGGGCACCUGGACCAGGCCUAUGUUGGACUGCAUCUCUCACCUGCGCACCACCAACCUUGCAACUGCUGUGCAAACCCCACUGCAGGGCUGGCUUUGCCCCCAGCCUCACACACGCAUGCACACAGGCACGCAGGCUUUGUGCUGCCGAGGUGGCUGGGGCAGCGCUGGAGCCUGGGCCGGAGUCGCCUUCUCCCUUCGGAGCUCACGGGGCCAUUGCAAGUCUGGUCACAUCUCUGUGCUUUCAUUGCCUUGGUACAAACCGAGACGAGCAUUUUCUUUACCAAGCUGCUCUUCUGGGGCACCGUGAUGCCGGCAGACUCAUGGAAGGCUGAGGCUGCGGACGCUGCGUCCCUUCCUGCUCGGUUUGGAAGCGUGGGGGCAGCAUCCAGCACCCUGCCUCCCCUGUGCACUUGGCUGGCAAACCUCAGGAUAGACAGAGCCUGGAGCCAACAGCAGUGCCCCCAGGCCUGCUGCUCCUGAGGGACAUCUGAGGGCUACCGUACCCAACCUUGCCUCUGAAGCCUGUAGCCAAGGAAACAUUUCUUCCUAGCCUCCCCACACACAACGAUUUGUUAUGAAAAUGUCCCUGCAUAUGAAUAAGUCAGAAAAAUGUUAUAAGGAGCACAUACGUGUAUUCACUACCCAGAUUUCUACUGUUUGCUCUCACUUUUCUAGUGUAAAAUGCAGCACAGAGCCUACCAUUUUCAUCCAUCAGAGCACACACUGGAGUGGUACACCCACCACGUCUAUCUAGCUGCAGACAUCUGCAUCACCUGAGAGGCUCCCACGGAGAGCCAUUCCAUUACUGCUGCUCUCUAGCCCCUGGCCAGCACUCAUCUACUGUCCACAGACAGGCUUGCUCUCGGCGUUUCAUACCCAUGGAACCUUCUGGACUGCCUUCUUUCCCUUCCCAUCACGUUCUCAGAGUCCAUACAGCGUCGUGACCUAUACAGUAAUAGUCUAUCGAUCAGACAGAGCUCACUGUACACAUCUACUCACCACAGGAUGGCCAUGUGGAUUAGUUCUACAUUUGGGUUAUCCUCUUCUUCUUCCCCUCAGAACCCAAGGAAGGGCUCUAGGCAUUUAGUCUCUAAGCUACAAGCCCCCAGAGACCCUACACUGAAUGUUUAGUCACUUGACUUUCCAAUCAGCAAAGCUCACCCAUGUCUGACAUGGGGACGAAGGCAGAAGACUCCAAGUGGCCUCAGUUGCCUCCAUCCGAGGGAAGGGGCCAGCGGGGCGGGAGGACUCACAAGUGUCCCCACAACACACCUUCUGACAGAUGAAGCCAGGUCCCAGCGCCACCGGCAUUCCCUCUUUAGCCUCUCAGGUCUCUAUCUCAUGGGGUUGCUUCAGAGACAAGGCCAGUGCUGCCCAAUGGAACUCUCCAUGAGGAUGGCCACGCUCUUCCUCCACCAGCCAGGGCAGCUGUUGCUACCCCGCAGGCCUAGGUGGCCAAAGUGAGACUCAAAAUGUGGCUAGUGUCAGUGGGGAAUGGAAUCUUCCAUUUUGUUUCACUUUUGUUUACAUCUGAAAUGGAAGGUUCACAUGGAGCUGUGGCGAUUGCCAGGGACAGGCCAGCUGUAAGGGCAGAAGAAACAAAUGGCCUGGCUCCUCGACCUCAUCUUUCCCCUUCCUCUCUCUACUUACCUCAGCUGUCUGGGCGUGGGGAGGCUUCUGUCUGCAGCCUGGACCAGACAGAGCCUAUCUAGAAGGACAGCGGGUAUGUGGUGGGGCUCUCAGGGAACCAAACGGACAGCAGCUGGGGAGCCGGCUCCUCAGACGCCAUAAUGACAAGAGUCUCUGCCCCCGACCUGGACCCUCCUCUCUGCCCUGUUCUAGAACCACCCCCUUCCCUGUCUCCCCCAGCAACUCCUGAGGUCAUCCCCGGAAUGUCUGAGCAGGGGCUGUGGGAUUGGAACUUGCCUACCAUCUCCACGCAGGAGCAGACCCCUGGGUGCUUAUGCAGAGAGUACAACCUUGGUGCCGGGCUAGGCUGAGGGUCAGGCGCUCGGGGAGACCACCCCCCCCCCACAGCCGCUCUUCUGGUGUAUGGGUGGUCUCACGUGACCCCAGAGCACCCGCUGACCCUGCCGGCUCCCUCUGCAGACGCAGGAGGACACACUCAGAAGGUGAAGUGACUUUUCCCAGGCUCAGCCAGCAAGGCUGGUCCCAGGCCCAAGGCCACCCUGGCAUGGAGAGUUGCACAAGCUCACUCUCCUGGGACCUCCAGUGCUGGCCAGGCAAAGAGCUAUUUGUCCCCAGUCAGCAGGGAUGAGAAGCAAGAGUGCGCCAUUGCUCUCCUGCCCCCAGUCACUUGGACGUGUCAUGUGAGAUCACGGUAAGGUGGCCACGAAGACUCGGGGGGCAACUUUAAACACAGCCAUGAGCACCGCUGGCUUCGGUCUCUGUGGUCACCACGUCCAGAGGCAGCUGACCACAGAAUGAAAUGAGGAGGGAAAGGCACCACACUGCGCAUGUGCAGAUGUCUCUCCUGCCGUUACCCCUCCCGAACGGGGCGGGGGCCGGGGGUCUCUUUGUGGGAAUGUGCAGUGUGACAGUCCCUCACAUGGCUCUACGGAGUGUUUGGCACUACAGACAUCCUAGAGAGUAAGCUGGGUGCACAGGAGGACAUGCCCAGGUCACAGGCAGUGCUCUGCCUUCUGCACAAGGCAUUGGCACACUCUGGCAGAACCAACGCCUUCAGACACGGAGGGGCGACUGUCAGGCUCUGAGACUCCUGCUGUCCUGUCUUGAGGACAGGCCUGUUCCCUUCCUGCAAAGUUCUUCCUUACCUCCCAGCUUCCCAUGCUCCUGUAGCAGAAGGGCCCAGGGGUCCCACCACAAACCUGUAGGGACACCUUGCCUCCCACAGCUCAAAAUCCCAAGUGGCCCCCCUGCUUUAUCCCUGUUGUCCAGAUGGGGCCACCUCUGCCCCAGGGCUUUUGCACUCACACAGUCUCCUCCUGCUAGCCUCUGCUCAAGUCCAUUCCCCUCGGGCCUGCUGCCCACUUCCUCAGUUAACCCUGCCUCCUGUCCUGGCAGUCCCUCGGUCCUCUCACUUCUUCAUCUAUCAGCCCUCCCCUAACAUCCGAUGUACUCCUUGCUGGUUGUAUUUUCCGAUGGUGGUAAACGUUAACGUUUGUUAUCCCGACAGCUCGCUCCAGUGGUAUUAAGAGCAUUAGCACGGCUCUGCCGCCCUCACCACUAUCCCCAUAGCCUUUCAUCUCCUAAACACGAACUCCCCGCCCCAGCCCACUCUGGUACCCUCCGGUUUCCUUCCGUCUCUAUAGCUCUGACUCUAGUGACCACUUGUUGGUGUCAUUACGGCACGGAAUUACCCCACUGUCCCUCUGUGCUUGACUUCUUUCCCUCAGCAGUCCAUCCAGGCUGCGGCACGUUCCUUUCCACGACUGUCUGUCAGGCUGGGUGGGGUAGCACAUGCCUUUGUUCUCAGGACUUGGAAUUUAAUCUAGUAGGCAGAUCUCUGUUAGUUCGAAGCCAGCCUGAUCUACAGAUCAAGUUCCAGGACCUCCAGAGCUACAUAAAGAAAUCCUGUCUCGAAAGACCAAAACCAACCGAAUAAAAGAAGCAAUUGUCUGUCUCACUUGCUA
Molecule: long non-coding RNA, 4011 nt
Organism: Peromyscus leucopus (white-footed mouse)
Lineage: Eukaryota; Metazoa; Chordata; Mammalia; Rodentia; Cricetidae
Exons: 2
Source: RefSeq, a predicted model, not a curated record